AUACAUCCAUGUUUUUGGCGACAAUGAUGUACGUGAAGUUGUAGCUGAUUUUUUGAAUGGGGCAGCAGCAGCAGAGGCGGUGACCGUGGUGGAGGAAAAGCCAAAAACAAUAAACAUCUUCGAAUGUAAAUUAUUGCUAUAUUGCGUCAACACAAAGAACACAACACCCAGCACAUGCAGCUUAAAUUAGAUUUAUAUACACAACGAUAUUGCUUUGGAAAAUGUAUUGGUGUAUAAAUAUGGUAUGGACUGAAAUGUUAUGAACAACUUGAGAUCAAAAGAUUACGAUUAAGAUACAAGUUCUGACUUCUACAAUGAAUGGAUUAUUUAUAUAUAUAAAGGAUGCAAUUAAUGGCUAUCCAGCGACAACACCGAGAACACGACACCCAUUCUACAUAUUCAUCAUCUGGUUGACAACGGUGCUUAUCUGAGUUCCAGCUACAGUAUAAACAUAUGUUUGUCAUGUCUUCAGAAUUCUCUAAUAGAUAGGUCUUUAAAUAUUCUCUAUAAG
This 511-nucleotide long non-coding RNA is filed under the name Acyrthosiphon pisum (pea aphid). RNAcentral's name for it is "uncharacterized LOC100574702, transcript variant X2". The record is from RNAcentral. Lineage: Eukaryota; Metazoa; Arthropoda; Insecta; Hemiptera; Aphididae.